UGGGGAAUUUUGGACAAUGGGCGCAAGCCUGAUCCAGCAAUGCCGCGUGCAGGAUGAAGGCCUUCGGGUUGUAAACUGCUUUUGUACGGAACGAAACGGCUCUGUCUAAUACAUGGGGCUAAUGACGGUACCGUAAGAAUAAGCACCGGCUAACUACGUGCCAGCAGCCGCGGUAAUACGUAGGGUGCAAGCGUUAAUCGGAAUUACUGGGCGUAAAGCGUGCGCAGGCGGUUAUGUAAGACAGAUGUGAAAUCCCCGGGCUCAACCUGGGACCUGCAUUUGUGACUGCAUAGCUAGAGUACGGCAGAGGGGGAUGGAAUUCCGCAUGUAGCAGUGAAAUGCGUAGAUAUCGGGAGGAACACCAGUGGCGAAGGCGGCGAUCUGGGUCGAUACUGACGCUGAGGUGCGAAAGCGUGGGGAGCAAACA
This 427-nucleotide ribosomal RNA is filed under the name uncultured bacterium. Its description in RNAcentral is "bacterial SSU rRNA". It matches the Rfam family "Bacterial small subunit ribosomal RNA", at positions 355 to 774 of the family's 1533-position model. The record is from RNAcentral.